RNAcentral lists this ribosomal RNA (460 nucleotides) under uncultured bacterium. RNAcentral describes it as "partial 16S ribosomal RNA". It matches the Rfam family "Bacterial small subunit ribosomal RNA", at positions 338 to 795 of the family's 1533-position model. The record is from RNAcentral.
CCUACGGGUGGCAGCAGUGAGGAAUAUUGGUCAAUGGUCGGAAGCCUGAACCAGCCAAGUAGCGUGCAGGAUGACGGUCCUGCGUGUUGUAAACUGCUUUUAUCCGGGAAUAACGCCCCUUACGUGUCCGCCUUUGCGUGUACCUUAUGAAUAAGCACCGGCUAAAUCCGUGCCAGCAGCCGCGGUAAUCCGGAAGGUCCGGGCGUUAUCCGGAUUUAUUGGGUUUAAAGGGAGCGUAGGCCGCCUGUCAAGCGUGCUGUGAAAUGUCCGGGCUCAACCCGGGCCUUGCAGCGCGACCUGGCGGGCUGGAGUUCGAGGAAAGCAGGCGGAAUGCGGCGUGUAGCGGUGAAAUGCUUAGAUAUGACGAAGAACCCCGAGUGCGAAGGCAGCAUGCGGGAGCGGAACUGACGCUGAGGCUCGAAAGCGCGGGUAUCGAACAGGAUUAGAUACCCUAGUAGUC